UACGUAGGGUGCAAGCGUUAUCCGGAAUUAUUGGGCGUAAAGAGCUCGUAGGCGGUUUGUCGCGUCUGCUGUGAAAACUGGAGGCUCAACCUCCAGCCUGCAUUCGAUACUGGGCGGCUAGAGUCUGGUAGGGGGAUCUGGAAUUCCUGGUGUAGCGGUGGAAUGCGCAGAUAUCAGGAGGAACACCGGUGGCGAAGGCGGGAUCCUGGGCCAGUACUGACGCUGAGGAGCGAAAGCGUGGGGAGCAAACAGG
RNAcentral lists this ribosomal RNA (253 nucleotides) under uncultured bacterium. RNAcentral's name for it is "partial 16S ribosomal RNA". It matches the Rfam family "Bacterial small subunit ribosomal RNA", at positions 524 to 776 of the family's 1533-position model. The record is from RNAcentral.